UACGUAGGCAGCAAGCGUUGUUCGGAGUUACUGGGCGUAAAGGGUGUGUAGGCGGUUGGAUAAGUGUGGUGUGAAAUCUCCCGGCUUAACUGGGAGGGUGCGCUACAAACUGUCUGACUAGAGUGUGGGAUGGGUAAGUGGAAUUCCUGGUGUAGCGGUGAAAUGCGUAGAUAUCAGGAGGAACACCGGUGGUGUAGACGGCUUACUGGACCAUAACUGACGCUGGAGAACACGGAAAGCGUGGGUAGCAAACAGG
RNAcentral lists this ribosomal RNA (256 nucleotides) under uncultured bacterium. RNAcentral describes it as "partial 16S ribosomal RNA". It matches the Rfam family "Bacterial small subunit ribosomal RNA", at positions 524 to 776 of the family's 1533-position model. The record is from RNAcentral.